This 477-nucleotide ribosomal RNA is filed under the name uncultured bacterium. RNAcentral describes it as "partial 16S ribosomal RNA". It matches the Rfam family "Bacterial small subunit ribosomal RNA", at positions 30 to 507 of the family's 1533-position model. The record is from RNAcentral.
AUUGAACGCUGGCGGCAUGCCUUACACAUGCAAGUCGAACGGUAACAGGUUAAGCUGACGAGUGGCGAACGGGUGAGUAAUGUAUCGGAACGUGCCCAGUCGUGGGGGAUAACUGCUCGAAAGAGCAGCUAAUACCGCAUACGACCUGAGGGUGAAAGCGGGGGAUCGCAAGACCUCGCGCGAUUGGAGCGGCCGAUAUCAGAUUAGGUAGUUGGUGAGGUAAAGGCUCACCAAGCCGACGAUCUGUAGCUGGUCUGAGAGGACGACCAGCCACACUGGGACUGAGACACGGCCCAGACUCCUACGGGAGGCAGCAGUGGGGAAUUUUGGACAAUGGGCGCAAGCCUGAUCCAGCCAUGCCGCGUGCGGGAAGAAGGCCUUCGGGUUGUAAACCGCUUUUGUCAGGGAAGAAAAGGUUCUGGCUAAUACCUGGGACUCGUGACGGUACCUGAAGAAUAAGCACCGGCUAACUACGUG